UACGGAGGGUGCGAGCGUUGUCCGGAAUCACUGGGCGUAAAGGGCGCGUAGGCGGCCCGGCAAGUCAAUGGUGAAAGCUCGCGGCUCAACUGCGAGUCGGCCACUGAUACUGCUGGGCUAGAGCACUGUAGAGGCAGAUGGAAUUCCGGGUGUAGCGGUGGAAUGCGUAGAGAUCCGGAAGAACACCGGUGGCGAAGGCGGUCUGCUGGGCAGUAGCUGACGCUGAGGCGCGACAGCGUGGGGAGCAAACAGG
This 253-nucleotide ribosomal RNA is filed under the name uncultured bacterium. RNAcentral describes it as "partial 16S ribosomal RNA". It matches the Rfam family "Bacterial small subunit ribosomal RNA", at positions 524 to 776 of the family's 1533-position model. The record is from RNAcentral.